UAAGCCCAAAUAAAAUUAUGGCGUCCAUACUCUUCUUCCGCGAAAUUUCUUUCUUCUCUUCUUCUUCAUUCCGCCAGCAACCCAAACUGCACCGACUCUCCCUCCUCAACUCCGGUCUCGACAGCGUCUUGCACUCAUCAUACCGUUUGGCAGCAGCUCCGCGCGACAUCCUCAGCUUCACCAGCAUACCGUUCGGCAACAUCUCCUUUCGUCGUUCACCAGCAGUCUCCGGUCGUGGCAGCAUCUCUCACUACGUUGUUCACCAGCGGCCUUCGUUCAAGGGCUCAUUAAUUGGACACCCAGUUGAAAAUAUUCGUAUAUGUUUAACAGAUGGAGCUUCUCUUCCAGUGGAUUCCAGCGAACUUGCAUUUAAUGUUAUACAGCAGCAAGACCUGUGAUAUUGGAGCCUGUUAUUCUGGUGGAUUUGAAAGUACCCACAGAAUUUCAGGGCACUGUUGCUGGCGAUAUUAAUAAGAGAAAGGGUACAAUUGUUGGAAAUGAAUAGGAUGGAGAUGAUUUUGUUAUUACUGCCCAUGCAAGGGCAAGCUUGAUCAGCCCUGAUUCGGAGAGCUCUGAGAGCGGAAUGUCCAUGAUCAGCUGCUCAACCGCCACAGUUUAAGAGGAGACAGGAACAUGAGAACCAUAAAUGUUUGUUUUGCCCUUAGAGUGGCCAGUGGUUGAUUGUACUCUGGAAAUUUUGUAAACUAACUUUUUAAACGUUGUUUCUUUUGGGAUCCCUUGUGUAAAAUAUUUGAUUAUAUGAAAAGUAUCUUUUGAGACCAAAACCCUUUAAUCCUAGCUCAUUAAUGGUUUUAGCAACACGUUUUUAACUAAAUGACUUUAUUAGCAAGUCCUGCACCCUUAUAAAUACACAGUGUAGCGGUCUUGGCUAUCCAGGGCGUUACAACUUGGUAUCAGAGGGUCUUAGGUUUAAGGGUUCCUGAAGACCGGCUGGACGUGUACAUUCGCUGCUAGAGACAAGCUUGAUGCAGGGUUUGGUAAUGUGUAUAUGUGCUUAUGUGCUUGUAUGCUUGGAAAGAAAUGUGAUUCUUGUUAUCUGUUGGAUUAAUAUGAAGCAUGAGAUACUGAUAGGGCCUAGCCCUUGAUUGCUGUGUGAAAAUAUUGAGGCAUGUUUAUUAGCAUCGCCAUGCAUGUAAAUGAAUAUUUGAAUGAUUAACUGCAUAUUGUGAAUAUAUGGAUAAAUGCUUAUAUCUUGGUUGUUUGUGAUUGAUUAUGUUUCAUUGGUGGAUUUUGGAGAAGCGUUUUACCCUGUCGUCAUGGUCGGACUGCCGAGUCGUUAAUUGCAGAUUGACUUGGAUAGUAUGCGUCCAAGAAAAUCUACAUGACUAGCCGGCACUAGGUCUGGGACCAGAGGUGAUGAUCAGGGCCAGAUUCCCCCGCCAGUUCCAGAAAACUGGCAGCAGAUUAUGGCAGAGAUGCAAGCGCAAUUACAGAGCCAAGAUGAGUAGAUUCGUCUUCUGCGACAGUAGGCUCCAGCAGGGAGUGUUGCACCUAUUGUGCCACCUGUAGUGGCACUAGUUAUUCAGCCAGCAGAGGUUGGGAACAGGUGGGAGCCAUUGUAUGAGCGGUUCCGGAAGCAGCAUCUCCCAACUUUUGAGGGAGGACCUAACCCACUGAAGGCCGAGCAGUGGAUGACUAUGAUUACUACUAUCCUGGACUUCAUGAGCAUAGAGGGACACGACAGAGUGGCCUGUGCCACAUAUAUGCUGAGAGAGGAUGCCCGCAUCUGGUGGGAAGUGGCAUCACAGACCAGGGACGUCACUGCUUUGAGUUGGGAAGGAUUUAAAGAUUUGUUUAGUCAGAAUACUACAAUGUUGCCAUCAGGGCAGCAAAAGUUAAUGAGUUUGUGGGAUUGGUGCAAGGCAACAUGUCAGUUACUGAGUAUGCCCUAAAAUUUGAUAGAUUUGCGAAAUUUGCACCAGACCUUGUGCCUAUUGAUGCUACUAGGCAAGACAGAUUCAUUAGGGGGCUUAAUGCUAUGAUAGACUGGGAUGUAAGGAUUACAACGGUACCUGGGGGAAAAACUUAUGCCCAGGCCGUUGAGAAGGCUCUUACCGUUGAGGAAGCGGAGAACAAGAUUUGGAAGGAAAGUGCAGCGAGGCGCAAGGGUCGCAGAGUGGUUGUAAUGCCCCGGAUUCCCUAUUAUGGUUAACGGCUGGAUUUGUAGGCCGGGAGGGCCAUAAUUGUUUAAUUAUGCCAUUGAAUGCGUUUAUGCAUGUUUAUGAGAAUUAUAUUAUAAUAUAAUGUCAAUUGUAUGCAUGUCGGUGAUAUAUGUUGGGACCACAUUAUGAUGUGGGUUUGCUCGAGCUAUUCGACUUGAGACGAUCGUAGAAUAUUGAUUAGCGGUUUAGUCACAACAGGUGUAAGAGCCGGGGCUUGGGUUGAGUCUCGGGGUGAUUCUGAUGGUUAGAGCGUUACCGAGAGAUAAAGGGUAACGGGACGUGAAUUAUUGGUGUUUAUGAUUAUUGAGAAUAGCGGGAGUUGGAGAGCGUUAAUUAUGAUUAACGAGUUAGGAGGAAAGUACCAAAAAUGCCCUUGGGAGCCUUUAGAAAGUAUUAAUUGACCUAGGGAUAAAAUGGACAUUUCACCCCUAGGAUAGAUAUAACUCUUGGCUGAAGUAAGUAGUGGAAAAAAAACAGAGUGUGUAAAGGAGUUCUCCCGUACCUUCUUUUCUUCAUUGUUCUUUGUGGUUUUUGAACCAAUUUUGAGGAUUCAAGCUUGAGGAGCAAGCCUUGGGAGUUUAGGAGUGUGUUCCACCAUUGAAGGCCAUCAUAAGCCAAGCUUUGGGUAAGUUUCUAACCAUGGUUUUCUCUGGUUCGCCCUGUUUUGGUUUUGUUUUGCAGCUGAGUUUUCUAGGAUGAAUUCAUGGUUUUGUUGGGAGUUUUGGCUAGGGUUCCCAUGCUUGUGAUGUUUGGGGUGUGUUAGGAUGGUUUUUGGGUUCUUUUGGCAUCAAGAAUAGGAUUUGGAAGCUUGGAAAUCGAGUUAGAAUCGAAGAAGUUGAAGAAGGUCGGUUUAGGGGUGUUUGGGCCUGGAGGUAGCGCUACAGCGCCCACCCUAGGGCGCUAUAGCGCUCCUCAGGAGGUUUUCUGGCUCUUGGGAGGUUCUGUGUUGAGCGCUGUGGCGCUAGGGGUUGAGCGCUGUGGCGCUAGGGGUUGAGCGCUGUAGCGCUACCCUGUUCCUUCCAAACCCCGUUUUGAGUGUUUUUAAGGGUUUUUGACUUGGGGCUUCAAUCCUUAAGGCCCGGGAUCGAAUCUACUCACCGUGUGGGCAUGUUUCAAGGUCCCGAGGGUGGUGCUUAGGUUAAGACCCUAUUUUUGUGGAUACUCAUUAAUGGAGGUUAUAAUUGGUUGUGAUUAGGUAACUGCUAAGGAACUAAAAGAUCGAUCGUUCUCAGGGGUCGUCUUUAUCAUACUUCUCACUCGAACUUGAGGUAAGAAAACAGUGUAUGGAUAUAGUUGCACCCUGUACAGGUAUAUGACAUGCAUGGUUUGAUAUUGAGGCAUGUUGGUUGAUACAUGUGAACGUGGAUUGCAUAUAAAAUGCUAAUGAAUGCUGAUUACCUGUUUAAGACAUUGACUAGUCAGAGACCGACUCUAAAGUCGAUGAUCACGCAUUGAAAGGCCCUAUGGCAUUAAUGCGGGACCGACUCUAAGGUCGAAGAACUUAUAAGCGCUUGCCUGGUCUACGACCAGAUGUCUAUAGCCAAGGUAUAUGACCCUGGUGACCGUCAGUCACGUGGCUAAGGGACGUUGUCCAUAGCUUCGACUCUAGAGUCGUGAGGAAGGUUAUGUUGGUGACUAAUCACCAUGCACCUGUCCUGAUCGAACAUAUGAAAGAAUCACUUAACCGUUAAGCCCUGGUGACCCUAUCGUCACAUGGCUAGAGGGAGCGAUGCUCGUUAUUGUGACUUCUGGUUAUUGUCACCUAUUUACUGGACUGAUGGUCUUGAAUGGUUAUUAUGAUCGCUGUUGAUAUUAUAUCAUGUUUUACUGUGUUUUCUUGAUGGGCCUUGACUCAUGGGUGCUACG
Molecule: RNA transcript, 4049 nt
Organism: Humulus lupulus (European hop)
Lineage: Eukaryota; Viridiplantae; Streptophyta; Magnoliopsida; Rosales; Cannabaceae
Exons: 5
Source: RefSeq, a predicted model, not a curated record